This 465-nucleotide ribosomal RNA is filed under the name uncultured bacterium. RNAcentral's name for it is "partial 16S ribosomal RNA". It matches the Rfam family "Bacterial small subunit ribosomal RNA", at positions 28 to 507 of the family's 1533-position model. The record is from RNAcentral.
GACGAACGCUGGCGGCGUGCUUAACACAUGCAAGUCGAACGGAAAGGCCCUGCUUGCCGGGUACUCGAGUGGCGAACGGGUGAGUAACACGUGGGUGAUCUGCCCUGCACUUCGGGAUAAGCCUGGGAAACUGGGUCUAAUACCGGAUAGGAGCCAUUUUUAGUGUGAUGGUUGGAAAGUUUUUUCGGUGUAGGAUGAGCUCGCGGCCUAUCAGCUUGUUGGUGGGGUAAUGGCCUACCAAGGCGGCGACGGGUAGCCGGCCUGAGAGGGUGGACGGCCACAUUGGGGCUUGGAAUCGGCCCAGACUCCUACGGGAGGCAGCAGUGGGGAAUAUUGCACAAUGGGCGCAAGCCUGAUGCAGCGACGCCGCGUGGGGGAUGACGGCCUUCGGGUUGUAAACUCCUUUCGCUAGGGACGAAGCUUUUUGUGACGGUACCUAGAUAAGAAGCACCGGCUAACUACGUG